AAUUUUUUAUUUAUCCGAAUUUUUCUUUUCAAAUAGAAUUUUUGUAAUUCGAAAAUACUUUGUGAAAUUAUUUUAUGAAUUUUUAUUUACAAUUUUAAUUUUUUUUCUUCUGAGUUUUAGAAUCACUAAUAAUAAAGAAAAUAUAAAAUUAAAAUCAAUAGAAAUUUGUACAUCACUUUUAUGAUAACUUUUGGAACCAUUUAUAAAAAAGCUUCAAAAGCACUCGCUAUAGAAUUCCAU
This 240-nucleotide long non-coding RNA is filed under the name Brassica rapa (field mustard). RNAcentral describes it as "long non-coding RNA (BRAP_LNC000419)". Lineage: Eukaryota; Viridiplantae; Streptophyta; Magnoliopsida; Brassicales; Brassicaceae. The record is from RNAcentral.